GUCAGCAGCCAUCAACAUUGAGGCAACACCCUCCACCACCAAAAAGAUUAUGACUCCCUGAAAUGUUAAUGAUGGUUAGCAUUUUUUGCAAGAAAGUAUUUUUAUUAAGGAAGUUCAUACACAAGAUGU
Long non-coding RNA from Prionailurus viverrinus (fishing cat), 129 nucleotides. RefSeq lists it as uncharacterized. The transcript has 3 exons. The record is from RefSeq and is a predicted model, not a curated record. Lineage: Eukaryota; Metazoa; Chordata; Mammalia; Carnivora; Felidae.